This 354-nucleotide ribosomal RNA is filed under the name uncultured bacterium. RNAcentral describes it as "bacterial SSU rRNA". It matches the Rfam family "Bacterial small subunit ribosomal RNA", at positions 8 to 350 of the family's 1533-position model. The record is from RNAcentral.
AGAGUUUGAUCAUGGCUCAGGAUGAACGCUAGCUACAGGCUUAACACAUGCAAGUCGAGGGGAAACGACAUCGAAAGCUUGCUUUUGAUGGGCGUCGACCGGCGCACGGGUGAGUAACGCGUAUCCAACCUGCCCACCACUUGGGGAUAACCUUGCGAAAGUAAGACUAAUACCCAAUGACGUCUCUAGAAGACAUCUGAAAGAGAUUAAAGAUUUAUCGGUGAUGGAUGGGGAUGCGUCUGAUUAGCUUGGUUGGCGGGGUAACGGCCCGCCAAGGCUACGAUCAGUAGGGGUUCUGAGGAGGAAGGUCCCCCACAUUGGAACUGAGACACGGUCCAAACUCCUACGGAGGCA